AUACGGAGGGUGCAAGCGCUAAUCGGAAUUACUGGGCGUAAAGAGUACGUAGGUGGUUUAUUAAGUCAGAUGUGAAAGCCCCGGGCUCAACCUGGGAACUGCAUUUGAAACUAGUAAACUAGAGUAUGGUAGAGGGGGGUAGAAUUUCUAGUGUAGCGGUGAAAUGCGUAGAUAUUAGAAGGAAUACCAGUGGCGAAGGCGGCCCCCUGGACCAAUACUGACACUGAGGUACGAAAGCGUGGGGAGCAAACAGGAUUAGAUACCCUAGUAGUCC
This 274-nucleotide ribosomal RNA is filed under the name uncultured bacterium. Its description in RNAcentral is "partial 16S ribosomal RNA". It matches the Rfam family "Bacterial small subunit ribosomal RNA", at positions 523 to 796 of the family's 1533-position model. The record is from RNAcentral.